This 88-nucleotide transfer RNA is filed under the name Enterococcus faecium. RNAcentral's name for it is "tRNA-OTHER". Lineage: Bacteria; Bacillati; Bacillota; Bacilli; Lactobacillales; Enterococcaceae. The record is from RNAcentral. RNAcentral also lists the same sequence under 1 other name.
GCAGACCUACUAACUAAUAGUGCCAGACAUGCAAGAUUGAGGGUCUUGUGAGCGUACGCUCGUGUGGGUUCAAAUCCCAUCGUCUGCA